Molecule: small RNA, 52 nt
Filed under: unclassified sequences
Description: Streptococcus sRNA SpF59 (ldcC RNA)
Rfam family: Streptococcus sRNA SpF59 (ldcC RNA)
Source: Rfam by way of RNAcentral
GGACCACUCCUUCCGGAGUCGAGGCCAUACGGACAGCCGGGUCCACUGCCGA